UGUUGAAUUGAGACCAGACGUAUGUGCUGAAAGAGUUAAAACUUUAAAUUGCCCACAACAGUUCCGGAUACAUGCACUACAUAUGGCUGGCAUUCUGGUUCCUUACACAGACGAUUGGUGUUGGCAUAAAAUCACCCAGGAUCAAUACCCAAUACACAGCUCUAC
Molecule: long non-coding RNA, 165 nt
Organism: Photinus pyralis (common eastern firefly)
Lineage: Eukaryota; Metazoa; Arthropoda; Insecta; Coleoptera; Lampyridae
Exons: 2
Source: RefSeq, a predicted model, not a curated record